GUAAGUCGUAUUGUAGCUACGUAUCAAUUCGUAUAUAUAAUUCAAUGUUACUUAUUUAAUAAAAAUAUCGAUGAGUUCAUGAUAGUUUGAACCGAUACAGCCACUACAAAGUCUCUAGAGAUAUUUCAAGAUUUCUCUCUUCAGUCAUGGAUUAAAGAACAGAAAUUCACUACAUAAUUGCCACAAUAGUCGGAGCUUUUCCGAGUCUUGCUGUGCUAUACUCUCCUGUUUGAACAGAUAUUUGACCAUAAAAAAAUAAAACUGCUUCUUGUAAUUUCCUGCAACAGUCAGAUAUCUCUACUAGAGGAAUCUACUGCUGUGAAUACUUGUAAAGAGGUCUCACACUCAAGAAAGGUUUUAUAGUUCUGCAAGAGAUUUUGAAUCUUUUGGCCAAGCUUAAAAAGACGGCAAAAAGCUGAAAAGAGAAGCGAAGUUGCUACAGGAAAAGGUGGAGAUGAAUGUGAUGUCUAAGAAAGCUCCCAAGUUGCAGCUGCAAUUGGCGAUAUUAAUGCUGCAGAACAUGAAUUUGUUUUGUGUCUGUCAAGCAUUAAUGGUUUGAUGCAGUUAAAAGUGAUGCAUUCCUAGUGUAAAAAUUAAGUACUAACAAGCAGAGACUAAUUCCAUUAGCCAUCAAGUCAGUAAAGUGCUAGCUGGUGCUGCUGAUUGGAACUUGCAUCGUUCUAGAAAAAUCGAAAAAGGAUACUAGACUUGCAAAUCCGAAUAAGAAGAAGAAAAUGUAUA
This is a long non-coding RNA of Uloborus diversus, 741 nucleotides long. RefSeq lists it as uncharacterized. The transcript has 5 exons. Lineage: Eukaryota; Metazoa; Arthropoda; Arachnida; Araneae; Uloboridae. The record is from RefSeq and is a predicted model, not a curated record.